RNAcentral lists this ribosomal RNA (348 nucleotides) under Triticum aestivum (bread wheat). Its description in RNAcentral is "partial small subunit ribosomal RNA". The record is from RNAcentral. Lineage: Eukaryota; Viridiplantae; Streptophyta; Magnoliopsida; Poales; Poaceae.
AUGUCAAGCACACGCAGCUUCCCCACAUCCUCGGAAGCCCACCCAAAAGAGGUAGGCGAAGCAACACCACGUAGGGUACGCCCAUUUCUAUCGGAGACGAGUCACCGCCAGCGACGCCGGCCGUCACUUUCUCCGGCGACAAGUAGUCGCACAGCUCGUCAGUCCUCUGGGAUCUUCUUCGGACAAGCAGCCAGCCAACUGCUACGCGCCAGCAAAAUAACUGGAAAUACUAGUCAUAGACGGGGACGAGCACGAGGACGACGAGCUUCCCUCCUCGCCCGGAUAAGCGCACCGGCCGGCGUCCUCCUGUCCGGUGCGUCUGCGUUUCACACCGGCGGCGACGACUGA